GUGUCAGCAGCCGCGGUAAUACGUAGGUGGCAAGCGUUGUCCGGAUUUAUUGGGUUUAAAGGGUGCGUAGGCGGUUUUCUAAGUCAGCAGUGAAAUACGGCAGCUCAACUGUCGAGGUGCUGUUGAUACUGGGGAACUUGAGUACUGAUGAGGUAGGCGGAAUGGACGGUGUAGCGGUGAAAUGCUUAGAGAUCGUCCAGAACACCGAUAGCGAAGGCAGCUUACUAAGGAGUAACUGACGCUGAGGCACGAAAGUGUGGGGAUCAAACAGGAUUAGAAACCCUAGUAGUCC
This 292-nucleotide ribosomal RNA is filed under the name uncultured bacterium. Its description in RNAcentral is "partial 16S ribosomal RNA". It matches the Rfam family "Bacterial small subunit ribosomal RNA", at positions 505 to 796 of the family's 1533-position model. The record is from RNAcentral.